This is a non-coding RNA of Paramormyrops kingsleyae, 641 nucleotides long. The record is from RefSeq and is a predicted model, not a curated record. NCBI's taxonomy places the organism in Eukaryota, Metazoa, Chordata, Actinopteri, Osteoglossiformes, Mormyridae.
GAUCAUUUCAAAUGAAAUUAAAAGGUGAGCGUUUUUAUUUCUCAGUUUUAAAUCCCCGUUCUCAGUUUUAAAUCGGAGGAAAUAUAAUAAUUUUUACGAAGAGCUGGAAGGCGUUUUGACAAUUUACUACAAAAAAUAUAUACGAAAGAAUUAGGAAUUCCAAUAAAUGUUGAAGCGUACAUCCAAUCUCAGAGCUGACACAGAAGUGGGAGGGGCCACACAGAAAGACGCCCACUGGUUCACUGGGUGCCUUCCAGACAGCAUGUAAUGGCACGUGGAGGCCUAUCUUCUCACAUAACCUCGGAAAGCUACGCACCCAGCCCUAAUUCUACGUUUCAGAAACAACAGUGUUCGUUUGAUGUGGAACUUCCAAGGAAACGUCUUCCUGAAGAGACUCACAGAUGCCUUUUUACUGCACCGUCUCCCAUUCAGACUGGAGCACAGUGUCCUGGAAUGCCUCUCAUAACAGCUUCAGCUGGGUCAAGCACUAAUUGAUGACCAUUUCCAGGAAGUCUGCAGAUACAGGAUCUGUCCUGCUGCCAGAGACAAAAGAAAUAAUCAUCUGAAAAGGAAAAAAAAAAAACAUUUUUUUCAGUUUUUUAUGAGUAUAUUGAACAUUCAGAAGACAUAGUCUUCACAGA